This 207-nucleotide ribosomal RNA is filed under the name uncultured bacterium. RNAcentral describes it as "partial 16S ribosomal RNA". It matches the Rfam family "Bacterial small subunit ribosomal RNA", at positions 568 to 774 of the family's 1533-position model. The record is from RNAcentral.
CGCGUAGGCGGCCCUGUAAGUCCGCUGUGAAAGUCAAAGGCUCAACCUUUGAAAGCCGGUGGAUACUGCAGGGCUAGAGUCCGGAAGAGGCGAGUGGAAUUCCUGGUGUAGCGGUGGAAUGCGCAGAUAUCAGGAGGAACACCAAUAGCGAAGGCAGCUCGCUGGGACGGUACUGACGCUAAGGCGCGAAAGCGUGGGGAGCGAACA